UACGGGGGGGGCAAGCGUUGUUCGGAAUUACUGGGCGUAAAGGGCGCGUAGGCGGCCUGCUAAGUCGGACGUGAAAUCCCUCGGCUCAACCGAGGAACUGCGUCCAAGACUGGGAGGCUUGAAUCCGGGAGAGGGAUGCGGAAUUCCAGGUGUAGCGGUGAAAUGCGUAGAUAUCUGGAGGAACACCGGUGGCGAAGGCGGCAUCCUGGACCGGUAUUGACACUGAGGCGCGAAAGCCAGGGGAGCAAACGGG
Molecule: ribosomal RNA, 253 nt
Filed under: uncultured bacterium
Lineage: Bacteria
Description: partial 16S ribosomal RNA
Rfam family: Bacterial small subunit ribosomal RNA
Source: RNAcentral